Armigeres subalbatus is the source of this 2945-nucleotide long non-coding RNA. RefSeq lists it as uncharacterized. The record is from RefSeq and is a predicted model, not a curated record. The transcript has 3 exons. Lineage: Eukaryota; Metazoa; Arthropoda; Insecta; Diptera; Culicidae.
GAGGCGCUAGUGUAUUUUACUCAUAUUAUGGUAAAUUUAUUUGAAAGUGUUUGCUGUGAGUUUUGACAGAUUCCUAACGUCAAUCCUCAAUGAUCAUUGAUUUGUUUUCGUCGUUGCUUGCUCAAUUGCUUUCGUCGUUCGGUCCGGUCUGGUCGCGAAAAAAGUGAAAAUCGACGAUUGUGGAAAAAUUUGCGUCUCAUUCCGGGAAGUACCGGUGGAAUCUGUGUUAUCGUUACGUUUCGGUAACACUUCAGGAAUUUCUUAGGGAGAAUUCUUCUGAAAGUCCUCCAUGAAAUCCAUCGUAGUCCUCCGGGAAAUCCAAUGAGAAGUCCUCCAUGAAAUCCUCCGCGAAAUCGUUCAUGAAAUUCUGCGGGAAGUCCUCCAGGAAAUUCUUCGCGAUGUCCUUCAAGAAAUUCUGCGUGAAGUCCUACAAGAAAUCCUUCGGGUUAAAUGCUAAUUUCACCAGGGAUUGAGAUCAACGGAGAAAAUUUAAUGUACCUGUCCGACCAGGAGAAUGCUUACGAGAUGACGAGAGAAACAUAACAUUCGUUUCGGCUUUUGGGUAAGGAGAAACUGAAAUACCGUAAAAGGGUCCCCAGAAUGAAGAGCGCAGCAGCGAGUUUUAACAGUAAGUCAAAGCCUGCCGCUGCCACUGCGCUAACCAUGCUGGAUGGACCGGAACCUCACCGAAGUUGCAACAGCUUAGAACGCCGAUAUCCGAGGAGCAGCAAAGAUGUUUGCGAACGCAAAUCUAUGGGCAGCCCGCAAGCUGUCGUGUCGUUCGGGAGUGAAAUCUACGAUGCCGGAUACCUGAAAUUAAUCAACGAACAAUCCACCUCUACGUUGGCUGGGUCUUACGUACACAGCAAGGAGAAGAAUAAAAAACCCUUGGCAGUGGGCUCUGGUCAACCACUACAAGCAAGCAGGCCCUAUCAAAGCGACCGUGUGUCACUCAAAGCGCACAGCAACCGCAUAGCACAGUCGUCAGUCGUGCGAGUUAUUAUUCAUCGAAGCUUGCACAGGACUUCACAGGACGCCUCUGGAAAAAGGAGCAUCACAAGGAAUGUUCGUUGGAUGCUUUGCCGAUACGGCCACGGUUAGGAUUCGCUUUGCCUGUUAAGGACAGGAGAUCUCCCUCGUAUUUCUGAUGGAACCGGAGACCAAGCUGUUCUCUGCUAACCUUUUUGAAGCCACAAGCAAACCUCCAAACCUAGGUAGUACUCCAAGUUACUUAGCCGUUUGUCAGCUGCAGUUCUUCCAACGAGGUUGACGGUUGAGAUGAAUCUCGUGCACAACCGUGAUCCGAUCGGCGUCUCCAUUAAAAAUAUGUUCUUGCCGUUGGUCAAGCUUAUUGACAGACUAUCGAACGCUACCUACAUUUCUUGCGCUUCUGUGUUUGGGUCAUCGAUGAAAGCGUUGAGGAGAACGCCAAUCUUGUCAUUCGUCUGUUGAUCCGACGUACGGAAUGCUUCGGUUCUGCGCUUCGUGGUGAAGGUUUGAUGAAGGCUAUCAACGAAGCCAACAAGAUGUCCGAAAAGAUUUCAAGGCGUAGGAAGAAGCAGGAUGAGGCAGAAGAUACGAUCACUGGUCUAGGCUUCUCGCAUCCUCUUUCAGAGAGAUAGACGACGACAAAGAUUACAUGGAUACCAGAGCUGUCGUUCUGUGCUUCUAUUGAACACUGGUGGAUACGUUGUGCACCGGAUGCAUCGGUGAUCAAACAAGGCAAAAACGAAUCAUUGCGAGCUCUGCCAUUCUACGCUCCUUGUAACCGUCGGAAGAUUUUUGAGUAGUUCUGGUUUUGUUAACAUUGACUAACACGGCGAAGGAAGGCCAAAGUCCGACAAAGUCCGCGGUUCCAAAUGGCUCCAGUGAAGCCGGUGGACCCCUUCCAAACAAUUCAAACAACAAUGACGUCGGCGUGCGUACACCCGCUUUCAAUGAUUCCUGCGAUCGACGCUUCUGGACGGACCCGAAGGGUGAAUUCGAGAGCAAUGUUGUAAAUACAGAGCCCUAACUGAUGGGUAAAAACGCAGCCGGUGCGACCAGACUUCCAUAGCGAUGCUCACUUCCAUAGCAAUCUCCAGUUCACAUUAAUCUGCCAACGUUUCCAACACUGCCGUAAUAAUAAAUUACCUUAAUUAUUACGAAUACAUAUUUUAGGAUCACUUAAAAACGAACUUUUGAUAGGAAGUCCGGAAAUCCAUUAUACAUCAAUCGACUCAGCUCGAAAAAUUAAUUGAUUGGUGUAUUGCCUAAUUGAUUGCUAAGUUGCUUGAUUGCUUUAUUAGUUGGUUGGUUGCUUGAUUGAUUCGUAGCUUGCUUGAAUGGUAUGGUAUGAAUGGUGGGUUGCUUGAUUCGUUGACUGGUUUGUUGGUUGCUUGCUUGAUUCGUUAGUUGGUUGAAUGAUUGAUUAGUAGGCUGGUUGGUCGGUAGAUUGGUGAGUUGGUCGAUUGGUUGGUUGAUUGGUAGGUUUCUUGAUUGGUUAGUUGGUUGAAUGGUUGAUUGGUUGGCUGCUUGAUUGGUUGAUUUUUGGUUGUUUGCUUAAUUGGUUGGUUAUUUUGUUGAUUGGUUGGUCGGCUGGUUAGUUGAUUAGUUGUUUUGUUGGUUGCUUGAAUGGUUGAUUGAUUAGUUGGUUGGUUGAUUGAUUUGUUAGUUGGUGAAAUGGUUAUUUCCUUGAUAAGUUAGUUGGUUGAUUGGUAGCUUGUCUGAUUGGAAGAUUGGCUAUUGGUUGCUUGAUUGAUUGGAAGCGGGUUAGAAUGAUUGUUUAGUUAGUUACUUGAUUCGUUUGUUGUUUGGUUGAUGGCUGGUUGAUUAGUUGCUUCAUUGGAUAAUUGGUAUCCUGAUUGAUUAGUUGGAUGAUUGGUAGCUUACUUGAAUGGUUGAAUUAUUGGCUGGUUGCUUGAUUUGUUAGUUGGUUGCUUGAUUGGUAGCUUGCUUGAAUGGUU